UCCUACGGGAGGCAGCAGUGGGGAAUAUUGCACAAUGGGCGCAAGCCUGAUGCAGCAACGCCGCGUGAGGGACGAAGGCCUUCGGGUUGUAAACCUCUUUUAGUAGGGAAGAAGCGACUGGGUUUUCCUGGGAGUGACGGUACCUGCAGAAAAAGCACCGGCUAACUACGUGCCAGCAGCCGCGGUAAUACGUAGGGUGCAAGCGUUGUCCGGAAUUAUUGGGCGUAAAGAGCUCGUAGGCGGUUUGUCGCGUCUGCUGUGAAAACCCGAGGCUCAACCUCGGGCCUGCAGUGGGUACGGGCAGACUAGAGUGCGGUAGGGGAGAUUGGAAUUCCUGGUGUAGCGGUGGAAUGCGCAGAUAUCAGGAGGAACACCAAUGGCGAAGGCAGAUCUCUGGGAUGUAACUGACGCUGAGGAGCGAAAGCAUGGGGAGCGAACAGGAUUAGAUACCCUGGUAGUCCAUGCCGUAAACGUUGGGAACUAGAUGUGGGGACCAUUCCACGGUCUCCGUGUCGCAGCUAACGCAUUAAGUUCCCCGCCUGGGGAGUACGGCCGCAAGGCUAAAACUCAAAGGAAUUGACGGGGGCCCGCACAAGCGGCGGAGCAUGCGGAUUAAUUCGAUGCAACGCGAAGAACCUUACCAAGGCUUGACAUAUACCGGAAACGGCUGGAAACAGUCGCCCCGCAAGGUCGGUAUACAGGUGGUGCAUGGUUGUCGUCAGCUCGUGUCGUGAGAUGUUGGGUUAAGUCCCGCAACGAGCGCAACCCUCGUCCUAUGUUGCCAGCACGUAAUGGUGGGAACUCAUGGGAUACUGCCGAGGUCAACUCGGAGGAAGGUGGGGAUGACGUCAAAUCAUCAUGCCCCUUAUGUCUUGGGCUUCACGCAUGCUACAAUGGCCGGUACAAAGGGCUGCGAUACCGCAAGGUGGAGCGAAUCCCAAAAAGCCGGUCUCAGUUCGGAUUGAGGUCUGCAACUCGACCUCAUGAAGUCGGAGUCGCUAGUAAUCGCAGAUCAGCAACGCUGCGGUGAAUACGUUCCCGGGCCUUGUACACACCGCC
Molecule: ribosomal RNA, 1059 nt
Filed under: uncultured Cryobacterium sp.
Lineage: Bacteria; Bacillati; Actinomycetota; Actinomycetes; Micrococcales; Microbacteriaceae
Description: bacterial SSU rRNA
Rfam family: Bacterial small subunit ribosomal RNA
Source: RNAcentral